ACACGCCUUUUAGUUACUCCUGCUUUGUGUUUUGUUAUUCUGUUUCGAUGAGAUCUGACUCACUCUGAACACAUAAAGAGCAAACCAAAGUGAGUUUUUCUUUCGUUUAAUUCCAUCCAUGUCCUGAAACCAAAACAAGGUUUUCCCCUUAUUUUCUUUGCUUCGCAGAGAUGAAGAGAAUGAGAGAUGAUAUUUUCUCAGCCCCAGCCCCAGCCCCUGCCCCUGCCCCUGAAUUUAAACGGCCCUUAACUUCGACACGUGGAGAAUCCUAUGGGCAAACACAAAUCCCUGGCGGCGGUGGUGGCGGAGGUAGUGGUAAUUCGCAGAAACUAACUACCACCGACGCCUUACAAUAUCUAAAGGAAGUAAAGGACAUGUUUCAAGACCAGAAGGAAAAAUAUGACAUGUUCCUCGAAGUCAUGAAAGAUUUCAAGGCUCAAAGAACUGACACUUCCGGUGUCAUUGUAAGAGUAAAGGAGUUAUUCAAAGGUCAUAAUAACUUGAUAUUUGGAUUCAACACCUUCUUGCCCAAGGGAUAUGAAAUAACCCUAGAUGAGGAUGAGGCAGCUCCGCCAAAGAAAACUGUUGAAUUUAACCAAGCUAUCAAUUUUGUAAACAAAAUAAAGAAACGUUUCCAAAAUGAUGAACGUGUUUAUAAAUCAUUUCUAGACAUUUUGAAUAUGUACCGGAAGGAACACAAGGACAUAAAUGAGGUCUACAGUGAGGUUUCAGCUCUUUUUGAGGAUCAUCAUGAUUUGCUUGAUGAGUUUGCUAGAUUUUUGCCAGAUACUUCAGCAACACCCAUUACACAUACUGUUCCAUAUGCUCGGAAUUCUAACCAGCAUUACAAUGAACGGAAUUCUACUGCACCCUCCGCACGACAAACACAAAUAGACAAGCAGCGUCGGCGUGACAAAGUUUCUUCUUCCCAUGCUGAGCGUGACCUUAGUGUUGAUCGACCAGAGAUGGAAGAUGACAAAGGAAUGGUGAAAGUGCAUAAGGAGCAGAGAAAACGUGCUGACAAGGAGAAUUGGGAUAGGAGAAUUCAUGAUCAGGAUGAUAGGGAGCCUGAGCAUGAUAGCAGUAGAGACUUCAGCUUGCAACCUUUUCUUGAGAAAAGGAAUUCUUCCCAGAAGGUGGAAGGUUUUGGAAAUUCUAACUUUGCUUGUUAUGAUGACAAAGACAACAUAAAGAGCAUCUACAACCAAGAAUUUGUUUUCUUUGAGAAAGUCAAGGAGAAGUUGGGAAAUGGAGAUGAUUAUCAAGCAUUCUUGAAGUGCCUUAACAUUUAUAACCAAGGGAUUAUUAAAAAGAACGAGUUACAAAAUUUGGUGACUGAUUUACUUGGAAAGUAUCCUGAUCUUAUGGAAGAGUUCAUUGAUCACCUGGAGUGUCAUGGGCAUAUUGAUGGGUUCCUUGCUGGUGUUACGAGCAAAAAAUCCCUGGGUAACGAUGGACAAGCAUCCAGAUCUUUGAAACUAGAGGACAAGGAAAAGGAGCAGAAGCAAAUAGACGGAGCUAAAGAAAAGGAAAGAUGCAGGGAGAAGUAUAUGGCUAAAUCCAUUCAGGAGCUUGACCUUUCUAACUGUGAACGUUGUACUCCUAGUUAUCGGUUUCUACCAGAUGAUUAUCCAAUAUCUUCAGCAAGCCAGAGAUCAGAGCUUGGUGCUCAAGUGUUGAAUGAUCACUGGGUCUCUGUAACAUCAGGAAGUGAGGACUACUCUUUUAAACAUAUGCGUAGAAAUCAGUUUGAAGAAAGUCUGUUUAGAUGUGAAGACGAUAGAUUUGAGCUGGACAUGUUGUUGGAAUCUGUGAGCUCCACUACCAAGCGUGCAGAAGAAUUGUUUAAUGGCAUAAACGAAAAUAAAGUAGAAACCUCAAUCCAUAUUGAAGACCACUUUACCGCUCUAAACUUAAGGUGUAUAGAGCGGUUAUAUGGUGACCAUGGUCUUGAUGUGAUGGAAAUAUUGCGGAAAAACCGAAGUCUUGCAUUGCCUGUUAUUUUAACUCGUCUGAAGCAGAAACAAGAGGAGUGGACUAGGUGUCGUACUGAUUUUAACAAGGUUUGGGCUGAAAUUUAUGUGAAAAACCAUUACAAAUCACUAGAUCAUCGCAGCUUCUACUUCAAGCAACAAGAAUCAAAGAACUUGAGCACAAAAUCAUUGGUGGUUGAGAUCAAGGAGCUGAAAGAAAAACAGCAGAGAGAGGAUGGUGUUCUUCUUGCUUUCGCCACUGGAAAAAGACAACCCUUGGUUCCGAAUUUGAAAUAUAAUUACCCAGAUAAAAAAAUUCAUGAAGACUUGUAUAAACUUGUCCAAUAUUCUUGUAAAGAGGUUUGCUCAACCAAAGAACAAUUAAAUAAAGUUAUAAGACUUUGGACUAACUUCGUGGAACCAAUGCUGGGUAUUGUUUCUCAUCCUGAUGGCUCGGAGAGUUGUGAAGGUGAAGGGAAACCAAAGCAUCCUCUCAUGAAUUGCACUUCAUCAAGCAUAGCAGAAAAGGAUGGAAGUCCUAAUGCUGUUCCUGCAAUAUCAACUUUUAAGCAAGCAAAAUCACCUAGCAAUGGAGAUGAAAACAUGUUGCAAGAACUAGGAAACCUUUGCAAGCUCAGUUUGAAAAGUUCAGAUAAAUUAGCUAAGGAAGAUAGCUUAUGUGAACUUGAUCAUGUUGGUAAGGAAGAUGGAGCGCUUAAUGUGCUUAGACCAGAAAGAGAGCAGAAAGAUAAAGUUGUAACUGACAGAGUAUCUGGAUUUAACAUACAAGGAGUAGCAGAUACCAAAACAUCAUUUAUGAUAGGAUCAGAAUGUGGUCAUGAAAGGAACAGUGCUGGGGAGAUAGCAGGUUCAGGUUCAAAUGUGUCUGUGCCAGGUGGUGAUGCUAUUGACCGUCAACUCAAUGCUGGUAUUGAUGCUGGACCUUCUUCAGAGGGUGUGAUUGUUGUAAAAUCAGUUUUACCUGCAAAUGAAGGAGUAAGGGAUGGUGCUAAAAAUGAUAGAUGUCAUGAAGAAUCCACUGGACCAUCCAAAAUUGAGAAGGAAGAAGGCGAGUUAUCCCCUAAUGGUGAUUUUGAAGAGGAUAAUUUCGAUGCCUAUGGAGAUACUGGCUUGCAGGCUAUUGCCACGGGAAAGAAUAGUAUUGGAUGCAUGCGGCAUGGAUCUGGAAAUGAUGAGGACUUACACACUCAGGAUAUCGUAGAAGGACAUGAUGCUGAUGAUGAGGAUAGUGGGAAUGUUUCUGAGGCUCGUGAUGCUGCAUCAAGCAGCGAGUCUGCUGGUGAUGAGUGCUCCCGGGAAGAGCUUGAGGAUGAUGAAGUAGAACGUGAUGAUGCGAAAGCUGAGAGUGAAGGUGAAGCUGAGGGGAUGGUUGAUACACAGUAUAAUGGAGGAGAUGCACCAUUCCCAGAACACUCUCUCAUGUCUGUUAAGCCCCUUGCAAAGCAUGUUCCAACAGAUUUAGUUAACGAGAAAAGGAGAGAUUCCUGGGUUUUCUAUGGAAAUGAUGAUUUUUAUGUGCUUUUCAGGCUUCAUCAGAUCCUCUAUGACCGUAUUUUAUCAGCAAGAGUGAAUUCAUCUGGUGCUGAAAUCAAAUGGAGAACUUCUAAGGAUGCUAGUUCUCCAGAUCCUUAUGCCAGAUUUAUGAGUGCACUAUACAGUUUACUAGAUGGAUCUGUUGAUAAUGCGAAGUUUGAGGAUGAGUGCAGAGCUAUUAUUGGAAAUCAGUCAUAUGUGUUAUUCACACUGGACAAGUUAAUAUAUAAAUUAGUCAAACAGCUCCAAACUGUUGCAACUGAUGAGAUGGCUAGUAAGCUUCUUCAAUUGUAUGAAUACGAAAUAUCCCGGAAAUCUGAGAGCUUCAAUGAUUUGGUGUAUUAUGACAACAUGCGGUUUUUCCUUCAUGAGGAGAACAUAUAUCGGUUGGAAUUUUCAUCUGCUCCAUCUGUUUUAUCCACCCAGCUGAUGGACAACGCAACUGAGAAAUCUGAAGUGUUGGCAGUUUGCAUGGAUCCAACUUUUUCUGCAUAUUUGCAUAAUGAUUAUCUCUCUGUCCAUCCUAUAAAAAUGGAGUCGCAUGACAUUACACUGCUGAGAAACAAGCGGAAAUAUGCUGGCCUAGAUGAAUUUUCUGCCUUAAGCAUGGCCAUGGAAGGCGUUAAAAUGUUCAAUGGUUUGGAGUGUAAGGUUGCCUGCAAUUCAUGCAAGAUUUCCUAUGUCCUAGACACGGAAGAUUUCUUUUUUCGAACAAGAAGGAAAAGAAGAAAUUCACCUCAAGGAAGAUCUUUGUAUCAUGAUAAGGUUCAAGCAAGAGUACAACGCUUCCGGAGAUUCUUAUCAGCUUAAUGAAAUAAGCAAUACUUUUCAUCAGACAAGGAUGCUUUCUAUUGAAGUUAGAAGGACUUCUUCAAGACAACAUCUUCAUAUAUUAUUUAACAUUCACGCCAACUUGUCAAAUGGAGACCUGAGAAAUGGACCUGCUCGAGCGUUCAGAGGAUAACUUUCAUCAAGACUUGUCAUCCGGGGGAAACGAAGGCAGAUGACAAAUCCUCUGGUUUCUCAGCGCACAUUAUCGGAUGUCAGUCUUUAAACUAAAGGGCUGGAGUGGAACACGUUGCGGAUGCUCUUUCAUUCGAAUUGCUUUAUCACCGGCUCUAUAGAACUGUGUUUCAUUAUCCCUUUGGGUGCGUGCUCACAUGGUCCGUCCAUGUGCCAGGCACAUCAGAGUCAUCAAUUUUUUCCAUAACUUCUUAAAUUUUAUAAAUUAUCAAGGGAAAAGAAAAUCUUUAAAAUUUAUAAUUAAAAAAAAAACCCAAGUAUAAAGACAAACCUAGGUACGAGGAACAAAAUUCAUGGAAGAUUUAAGAUAAUCAUGUUUUAAAUUUGUUUAAUUAACAUUAUUUAAAUAAAUUAUAAAUUAAUCUAAAAGAAUUCUUAGUUUUCUACUCAUAGAACUCUUGAUUUCUUUGGAAUUAAUUCUUGAUCUAUAAUAGUUAAUCUAAUCAAAGGUAAAUAAUUAUAGAAAUUAAUUUCUUAACUUUUAAAAUUCACUAUUGAAAUUAAUCUAAAAGAACUCAUGAUUUUUCUAUUUUAAAUAACCCUUGGUUUUUUUAGAUUUUAUUCUUGAUUUGAGAUGGCUGGUAGAUAAUGGUGGAAAUUAAUUUUUAAUAAUUCUUUAAUUUUUUAUCUUUCUAAUUUCACUAUAAAAGGGAGUGAAGUGAAGAAAGAGUUUCUAAUUUAAUGUAUUUUUUAUCUUUUUAUAUUUUUACACACUCUUACUCAUCUUAUUUUUAAUGUUUUUUUUUUUUUUUUUAUGCUUUGAUUUUCCUUUAAAAAAUUUAGAGUUUAGAUUCAUUUUAUUGAGAGAUAAUCGAGUUUUUUUAUUUUGGUUCAAAGAACUUAGUUUGAAAGUACAUCUAAACCUUGAAAGAUAUUGUUAGAAUCUUGAAAGACACUGUAAACAUUUUAGUUGCACAAGUGAGGAGUAAUCAAGUCUCAAGGAUUUAUCAUUGACAACAACAAAAGAUUCAUUAUUUUAAAGCGCUUCAACAAAUUUAACAAAGAUAGAAAUGAAGACUUAGGGAUGGAUCUAUCACAAGAAAAAUCUAACUAGCUACUGGACAUACCUUCUUUUCUACUUUCAUGGAUUAAGAACAAAAAACUGCCCGUUUAAAGGCUUGGGAUGAACACUGCUAUUAUGUAAAGAUACUACACUUCCAUGAUUCAUGACCCUUAUAUACUUAUAUUUUUGCAGACUUGGGAUAGCUAAUGAAAUGAUCUAUUCUUUCUAAAUUUAUGCAUUCCAGACCGUUUGAUAAACUCUCCUAAGAAACAAGUAAUCUUGAGUUUUA
RNA transcript from Populus trichocarpa (black cottonwood), 5842 nucleotides. It is a transcript of the gene named paired amphipathic helix protein Sin3-like 2, with no coding region annotated. NCBI's taxonomy places the organism in Eukaryota, Viridiplantae, Streptophyta, Magnoliopsida, Malpighiales, Salicaceae. The transcript has 27 exons. The record is from RefSeq and is a predicted model, not a curated record.